RNAcentral lists this ribosomal RNA (253 nucleotides) under uncultured bacterium. RNAcentral's name for it is "partial 16S ribosomal RNA". It matches the Rfam family "Bacterial small subunit ribosomal RNA", at positions 524 to 776 of the family's 1533-position model. The record is from RNAcentral.
UACGUAGGGGGCAAGCGUUAUCCGGAUUUACUGGGUGUAAAGGGAGCGUAGGCGGUGCAGCAAGUCAGAAGUGAAAGCCCGGGGCUCAACUCCGGGACUGCUUUUGAAACUGUUGAACCAGAUUGCAGGAGAGGUAAGUGGAAUUCCUAGUGUAGCGGUGAAAUGCGUAGAUAUUAGGAGGAACACCAGUGGCGAAGGCGGCUUACUGGACUGUAAAUGACGCUGAGGCUCGAAAGCGUGGGGAGCAAACAGG